This 253-nucleotide ribosomal RNA is filed under the name uncultured bacterium. RNAcentral describes it as "partial 16S ribosomal RNA". It matches the Rfam family "Bacterial small subunit ribosomal RNA", at positions 524 to 776 of the family's 1533-position model. The record is from RNAcentral.
UACAGAGGGUGCGAGCGUUAAUCGGAAUUAUUGGGCGUAAAGCGUGCGUAGACGGUAGCGUAAGUCAGAUGUGAAAGCCCCGGGCUCAACCUGGGAAUUGCAUUUGAGACUGCUCUGCUCGGGUGCGGAAGAGGGAAGCGGAAUUUCCGGUGUAGCGGUGAAAUGCGUAGAUAUCGGAAGGAACACCAGUGGCGAAAGCGGCUUCCUGGUCCGACACCGACGUUCAGGCACGAAAGCGUGGGGAGCAAACAGG